GGCGCACACACAAACCAUACAAACACAAGAACACACACACACACACACACUUCAUUUCUGGUAGCCAUGGAGGUGAGAAUCCCAUGGUAAGAGUGUUGGCAGAUCUGUUUUGUAAGGACAUGGAUCUCUCUAAUGAGAACCCUCAUCACAAUACUCUCUCAUCCCAUUCCUCACAGGGGUAUCUCAACACAGAGCUUUUCAGGGGACACAAACAUGAAGCCUAUAACACUUUACCUCCUCUCUGCCUUCUUCCAUCUGCCCAUCCAUUUACUCAGCUGAGAGCUGAUGACUUUGAUACAGCAUCUGUACUAAGGCAUCUUCUGGCCCUGUGUACCUUGCCAGCUCUACAAGUGCCAGCCAUGCUUCUGAAAUGGAGAUGUGCCCCUAUAAUCCAAGCACUUGACAAAUAGAAGCAAAGUUCAAGGCCAGUUUGGUCUACGCAGCAAGUUUGAAGUCAGCCAGUGCUGGAUGGAGAGACCCUGUCUCAGCAAACAAAAUAAAGCAAACACAAGUCCUUUGAAUCAUAAGUAGAAAUGAAACUCAUUGGGAAAUCCUGACUUACUAUAAAGCCUAUGUAGGAGUG
Long non-coding RNA from Mastomys coucha (southern multimammate mouse), 583 nucleotides. RefSeq lists it as uncharacterized. The record is from RefSeq and is a predicted model, not a curated record. The transcript has 2 exons. NCBI's taxonomy places the organism in Eukaryota, Metazoa, Chordata, Mammalia, Rodentia, Muridae.